CGGCGGCCUGGGGCGUGCGAGCGAGGGCAAACGGGGGGGAAAAGAAGCGGGGUGCCCGGGCUUUAAAGCGACGCGGCCAGUGGGUUUCGGGAAGGCCGGAAUCUCCGGAUUCCGGUGAUUGCGGCGGCGCGGGGAGUCCGGCGCGGGCGGUGCGGGCGCCUUCCAAACGGAGCCUGACAGGUGGGCCCCACCUGUCAGCGUCUCCGCCCGCGCGCGCGGGCGGCCGGGCUGGCGGGGCCGGUUCGGCCCAUUUGGCCGGGCCGGUCCGGUUUUCUCUUCUUCUUUUUUUCCUUUAGCCCUUUUCUUUUUCUGUUUUUCUUAUUUCUUUGAUAUCUUUUGAUUUUGAACUCGAAAUUGGUCCAAACAAAUUCCAGAAAAUUUGUAAAAUCAUGUUCCACCAUGAUACAACUUUUGGGAGUA
This 420-nucleotide long non-coding RNA is filed under the name Brachypodium distachyon (stiff brome). Its description in RNAcentral is "long non-coding RNA (BDIS_LNC001788)". The record is from RNAcentral. Lineage: Eukaryota; Viridiplantae; Streptophyta; Magnoliopsida; Poales; Poaceae.